Chelonia mydas (Green sea turtle) is the source of this 1364-nucleotide long non-coding RNA. RefSeq lists it as uncharacterized. The transcript has 3 exons. Lineage: Eukaryota; Metazoa; Chordata; Testudines; Cheloniidae. The record is from RefSeq and is a predicted model, not a curated record.
GCAUGGUGAGUGAUUUAGAAGACCUGAGAAUUGAAGUAAGGGAGACCUGUCCCCCAGCAUCUAAGGACUGAGGGUAACCCCACCUAAGGGGGAUGAGGGUGUUGUAAACUGAAGUAAUGAGGCAGGAUUGGGGCCUAGAGGUCCAAUCAGGUACUCCGAGGAAGCCCAGGAGAUUUUAUACAAACUUGGUAAUCAGAGGAGAGAGGCUUUUGGAAGAGGCAUAGCAUCCAGUGCCCAGAUGCUAGCAGGCAGAGGUAUGACUUCAGGCAGUGGACCCCACCUUAAGGAACAACCCAGGUGCCAAUGAACAGCAGCAACAAGAGGAAAACAUGUCACAGAGAUGGCACAAAACAUGGAACAAACAUGAUGAUCACAAAGAUUAUAGAUACUGUAAUUAUAACUAUUUGUUAGAGGCAACUUAUUCCAUACCCACAGAGACAACUGAUGCAGAGAAGUAUAGCUAGAUCAGUCCUGGCCUUGGAUUCUUCCAGACAUUGAGUAGCUGAUGUUCAGUAUAAGUGACAUUAUGAAAAAAGAUAUUUAAAGGAGUGAGGAUAGGGUAGUUUGGAGAAGAUUAGCUUAUGAUAAAGGUAUCAGGACCACAGAUGACAGUCAAAAGGGGUAAUGAAACUGAUAACUGAUUAACAUAUUGCUGAUUGUCUGGAGCAAAGUGGGAUAAUAUAGAAACCCCUUCAAGUUAAGAUAUGUGCUGGAUACUGUACUAGUGAUUGGGCUAUGCAGCUCUCGGACGUGAGCAAUGGUGUGCCUUCGCUGUUGAUUGGUGGUACUAGUAAGAUGGGCAAUAUAUGUGACACUGGUAUUUCAAAGCCUAAUUUGUCCUGCCAACAUUUUUAGCAGUACUAAAGAGGAAGGGAAACCAACUCUCUCCAGAGAUGCUCAACACCUUGCAGGCUCACCUUAAAGGUGCACUUCAAACACUUAUGCACCUGAAUAGUCUCAUUCAAGUCAAUGGGAGCUACUUACAUGCAUAUUUUCAGUGUCAGAGCCUAAGAACAAGAACACUUUUUAAAAAGUAAGAAUCAUGCACCAUGAGAUGUAUUGUUAGUUUAUUUAGCAAAUGUAGUUUUAACAUUCAUUGUUUACUAUAAUAUAGAAAUAUUUUGUAGUGUAGUUUUCUAAAAAAAAAAAAAAGAGGUUGAUACAAUGGUCUGCUAAUCAACACCCACAUAAUUUGCUUACAAAAAUAAAUAAAUAGUGGUUUCUACCCACUUCCCAACAAAGACUUAUUAGAGAAAGUCAAAUGAUCAAGCUUCUACUUCACUUCCACUUUGGGAUCCUUUGUGCCCUAACACAGUGCUGGAAUAGUUGUGCUGCAAACUCUGUAGGGGAAUGUCCUGUACUUC